This 495-nucleotide long non-coding RNA is filed under the name Musa acuminata (dwarf banana). Its description in RNAcentral is "long non-coding RNA (MACU_LNC004784)". The record is from RNAcentral. Lineage: Eukaryota; Viridiplantae; Streptophyta; Magnoliopsida; Zingiberales; Musaceae.
UGAGUUACAAAGCAGCACAUUCCAUCUAAUUUAUGGAUCUAAAGCACAGCAAGAUGCAAAGAUCUGCUCUUUACUUGGAUCACCAUGUAUCGCUCUUCUCUGCCAUGAACACUCUGCUUCAUUCACGCGAAGGAUACUGGCUGCAAGUCUCCUCCUCGUCUACCUCGAGUUGAUCUGUGACUUCACUUCCAUGAGUAACUGAUCCUGAGGAAGCAUCAGAAGCCAAGGAAUCGUCGUCGUCGUGCUCACCGUCGGCAACCACUUGGCCACCAUCAUGCAUGGGUGUUGCAAGGUACAUGGUCCAACCAGACUGGCUGCUGUCACACUCUUCUCCCUCUGCAGUUACCUCAGAAGAAGACUCCAUGUUCAUGCUGAUCAGGUGUAGAGCACACAACCUGCAGAAAGAAUCCAGCCGAAGGAAUGUUAGCUGCAGCUGCAAAUGUCAGAGAGAAGGAAAUGAACUCACACACACCUCUUUUAUGUUCUUCAGCUGUG